RNAcentral lists this ribosomal RNA (396 nucleotides) under uncultured bacterium. Its description in RNAcentral is "bacterial SSU rRNA". It matches the Rfam family "Bacterial small subunit ribosomal RNA", at positions 109 to 499 of the family's 1533-position model. The record is from RNAcentral.
AGUAAUAUAUCGGAACGUGCCCAGUAGUGGGGGAUAACUGCUCGAAAGAGCAGCUAAUACCGCAUACGACCUGAGGGUGAAAGGGGGGGGAUCGCAAGACCUCUCGCUAUUGGAGCGGCCGAUAUCAGAUUAGCUAGUUGGUGGGGUAAAGGCCUACCAAGGCAACGAUCUGUAGUUGGUCUGAGAGGACGACCAGCCACACUGGGACUGAGACACGGCCCAGACUCCUACGGGAGGCAGCAGUGGGGAAUUUUGGACAAUGGGCGCAAGCCUGAUCCAGCAAUGCCGCGUGCAGGAAGAAGGCCUUCGGGUUGUAAACUGCUUUUGUCAGGGAAGAAAUCCUCUAGGUUAAUACCCUUGGGGGGAUGACGGUACCUGAAGAAUAAGCACCGGCUA